AGCGUUAUUCACGAUGACGUUCUAUCGUUCUAUUUUCACCACAAUCAACACUUGGAUUUCAUUCGCGAUCCAUUAGAAUUCUCUCGUACUGUAUCUUUAUUGUCUCCUCUGAGUGAGCUGAUAAAGUAGAGCCCAGAAAGUUGAAGCUCAAUUUAUUCAUUUUAUUGAUAACGUCAGAUUUUUCAAGCUCAGCUUUUUCUACGUUCAUCUUUUUUGCGGAGAAUCAAGUGUUUUGUGAUAAAUUGGCGUAAAUUUCGAUUUUCAAUCGACCGAUCACUUUGUUUCUGGAUCUUCUAACGUUCAUUAUCCAUCUCAAAAAACAGUUUUUUAUAAUCUGAUACGAAUGUAUGCACUCGUAGCUAAUUACGCUGUUCAACGGUUUCGCGUUCUUUCUCGGCUUUCUCGGCGAAUUUUAUCAAAACGGAUAUUUUUUUCGAUCGUGCUCGUGAAAAUCUACGAAAUGUCAAGUUAUACGAGUAAUAGUACGAAGACCAUGCACGAUGAUUCAGCUUCAUACUUUGACUUAUCGUGGAACUCAGUUUUUAAUUUAAUCAUCGAUGCGAUUGUACAAUUAGGAUUGGCUAUAACGAUGGGUUAUAUCGCGGAUCGUAUAAUCGCCAAAAUACAUCUGUUAAUUCAGCCACUAAUUUCCAAAUACCGCCGAAGAAGAGCACUGAAUGGUCCGGAUAGAGAAAGGUGGAUGCAAGAGUUGGUCGUAUUUUUAAACCAACGGCCGCAAGCAGAAGUCGAUCGUUUUUUUGAAGUGAUGUUUCAGUGGCUAGAAAUGCCACAAGAAGAGCAAGACGCUUAUUUGAGACGAGAACUUCCGAGAGUUUUGGCAAGAAUUUUUGGUAUGGAAGAACAGCGACCGCGAAGCAGAACUCGAGGUUUUUAGAAAUCGAACUACGAGGCGUUUAUAUUUUGAGAAUUAUGGUGUUGUUUUUUUUUUUUUUUUACUUUAUCAAAAUGCAUAUUAUCCAAUUAAUUUUAGAUUUCGCUUUAAUUUCGUGUUUAAAAAUUUUUGAAUAAUCGUUCGUAAUACAUUACAGUUCAUAAUUAGCGAA
Long non-coding RNA from Planococcus citri (citrus mealybug), 1064 nucleotides. RefSeq lists it as uncharacterized. The transcript is spliced from 4 exons. Lineage: Eukaryota; Metazoa; Arthropoda; Insecta; Hemiptera; Pseudococcidae. The record is from RefSeq and is a predicted model, not a curated record.